Molecule: ribosomal RNA, 254 nt
Filed under: uncultured bacterium
Lineage: Bacteria
Description: partial 16S ribosomal RNA
Rfam family: Bacterial small subunit ribosomal RNA
Source: RNAcentral
UACGUAGGGUGCGAGCGUUGUCCGGAAUUAUUGGGCGUAAAGAGCUCGUAGGCGGUGUGUCACGUCGGCCGUGAAAACCUGCAGCUUAACUGUGGGCGUGCGGUCGAUACGGGCAUCACUGGAGUUCGGCAGGGGAGACUGGAAUUCCUGGUGUAGCGGUGAAAUGCGCAGAUAUCAGGAGGAACACCAAUGGCGAAGGCAGCUCACUGGGACGGUAUUGACGCUGAGACGCGAAAGCGUGGGGAGCAAACAGG